This 460-nucleotide ribosomal RNA is filed under the name uncultured bacterium. RNAcentral describes it as "partial 16S ribosomal RNA". It matches the Rfam family "Bacterial small subunit ribosomal RNA", at positions 338 to 795 of the family's 1533-position model. The record is from RNAcentral.
CCUACGGGUGGCAGCAGUGAGGAAUAUUGGUCAAUGGGCGCGAGCCUGAACCAGCCAAGUAGCGUGAAGGAUGACGGCCCUACGGGUUGUAAACUUCUUUUAUAAAGGAAUAAAGUGCGGCACGUGUGCCUUUUUGUCUGUACUUUAUGAAUAAGGAUCGGCUAACUCCGUGCCAGCAGCCGCGGUAAUACGGAGGAUCCGAGCGUUAUCCGGAUUUAUUGGGUUUAAAGGGAGCGUAGAGGGGUUGUUAAGUCAGUUGUGAAAGUUUGCGGCUCAACCCCAGGAGUGCAAUUGAUACUGGCAGUCUUGAGUACAGUAGAGGUAGGCGGAAUGCGUGGUGUAGCGGUGAAAUGCUUAGAUAUCACGAAGAACUCCGAUUGCGAAGGCAGCUUACUAGACUGCCACUGACAUUGAUGCUCGAAAGUGUGGGUAUCAAACAGGAUUAGAUACCCUUGUAGUC